AUGUGACUGUGGAUCGAGCCCAUGUGAAGCCUCUUCGAUGAGUCGAGUUGUUUGGGAAUGCAGCUCAAAAUGGGUGGUAAAUUUCAUCUAAAGCUAAAUACUGGCUGGAGACCGAUAGCGCACAAGUAGAGUGAUCGAAAGAUGAAAAGCACUUUGGAAAGAGAGUCAAAAAGUACGUGAAAUUGUUGAAAGGGAAGCGCUUGCAACCAGACCUGUCCGUAGGUGAUCAGCCGCUGUUCUCAGUGGUGCACUCGCUCUGCGAUCAGGCCAGCAUCGGUUCGGGCGGUCGGAUAAAGGCCCUGGGAAUGUAGCUUCCUUCGGGGAGUCUUAUAGCCCUCGGUGCAAUGCGGCCAGCCGGGACCGAGGACCGCGCUUCGGCUAGGAUGCUGGCGUAAUGGUUGUAAGCGACCCGUCUUGAAACACGGACCAAGGAGUCUAACAUCUAUGCGAGUGUUUGGGUGUUAAACCCAUGCGCGGAAUGAAAGUGAACGGAGGUGAGACCCCUUAAGGGCGCAUCAUCGACCGAUCCAGAUGUCUUCGGAUGGAUUUGAGUAUGAGCAUAGCUGUUGGGACCCGAAAGAUGGUGAACUAUGCCUGAAUAGGGUGAAGCCAGAGGAAACUCUGGUGGAGGCUCGCAGCGGUUCUGACGUGCAAAUCGAUCGUCAAAUUUGGGUAUAGGGGCGAAAGACUAAUCGAACCAUCUAG
This 705-nucleotide ribosomal RNA is filed under the name Hypogymnia irregularis. RNAcentral's name for it is "partial 28S large subunit ribosomal RNA". It matches the Rfam family "Eukaryotic large subunit ribosomal RNA", at positions 223 to 947 of the family's 3401-position model. Lineage: Eukaryota; Fungi; Ascomycota; Lecanoromycetes; Lecanorales; Parmeliaceae. The record is from RNAcentral.